This 253-nucleotide ribosomal RNA is filed under the name uncultured bacterium. RNAcentral describes it as "partial 16S ribosomal RNA". It matches the Rfam family "Bacterial small subunit ribosomal RNA", at positions 524 to 776 of the family's 1533-position model. The record is from RNAcentral.
UACGUAGGGGGCAAGCGUUGUCCGGAUUCAUUGGGCGUAAAGAGCGUGUAGGCGGCCAGGUAGGUCGGUUGUGAAAACUGGAGGCUCAACCUUCAGAGGUCGACCGAAACCAUCUGGCUAGAGUCCGGGAGAGGAGAGUGGAAUUCCUGGUGUAGCGGUGAAAUGCGCAGAUAUCAGGAAGAACACCCGUGGCGAAGGCGAGUCCCUGGACGAUUUCUGACGCUGAGGCACGAAAGCUAGGGGAGCAAACAGG